Long non-coding RNA from Caretta caretta (loggerhead turtle), 4159 nucleotides. RefSeq lists it as uncharacterized. Lineage: Eukaryota; Metazoa; Chordata; Testudines; Cheloniidae. The record is from RefSeq and is a predicted model, not a curated record.
AAUGUGUCUCAAUCUGUUCAUAGGAUAAAUUUACAGCAAUUUAUAAGUAAUUAUUAUUUAUUAUUAGUGGAGUAGUGGGGAUACUCAUAGUUAAGGCUGCUGUAAUGGCUUCAUUAAGACUCUGUUUUCAGUCACACUAUUUUUCCAAAGACUCCUGGAGCCAAAAUUAUCCACGUUUCUGCCCAAGGGUGAUUUCUUUUAAGUUCAAGACAAAGUAAUUCAACCAUUUUUGAGUAUGAGGGAAGUGAAAAAUACGCUACCAAUUAUUUUUAAAAAGAAAGAAAAAGGUAAACUUUCUUUUUAAAUAGUACAAUACCAUAUUUUUCAUCUUAAUAACAAUAAAAAUGGUAACCUCUUCAAAAAUUUAAAUAUACAGACAUUUUCUCGCCAUUCUUAAUGCUAUGUAGCUGGAGGUCAGUGAAGACUUGUAGACCAGCUGAUAAUUUACUGCUCCAAUAUGACUGUUCUUCUACUUUUUGCUAUAAUCUGUAGUUUUAGACCUUUUACAUUCUUGAUUUUUUUACCUUUUGGGUUACUUUCAGUGUCUUUCCAUAUAAUUUAUUUUUCAUGGCCAAGAUUUCACAGAUCAUAAGUACAGUGUCCAAGAAGGAAAAAGAAAGUAUGCUUUUUGUCAGUAGUUGAUGCCUCUAACUAAGAAAAAAGAGGAGUCGUUAAGUUCAAUAUCUAUCAUGAGGAGGGAAACUAUGCCAGUGUCCUAUGAUUUUGAAUUCUCACCUUGUUCUCCACAUCCCCAACUAUAUUUCAGCACAUAAUUGUCUUUCAUUAAUGUACUAGUUAAGACAUCAAGGUCUGAAUAUCUCUAGUUGAGUAACUCUCCUACUGCUUCCUGCAUUCUGCCACUAACUGAUUCAAUUUUUAAGUCAAAAGAAGAUAGAGAGUUUAACACAGAAUGUAGAUACUUCUGAAGUAAGUCCAAGCUUUUAGAUGAAUCAAUUAGAAAUUCCAGGAAGACUGAGUAAAAGCUUGGACCAUCUAUAAAAAGUUAAAAUAAGUGCAUAAUCCUUGGUUUAAGAGGUAUGGGAGCCAAAAAAAUUAAUCUUGCAGUUAGCCAAACUGGUUUUGGCAUCUUACUUCCGAAUUGUACAAUGCCACACACCAAUAAAAAUGUUAAAAACUGAGAAAAGAGAGGCAAAAUUCCAGUAAAACAAAGAAAAAUGUUAACUUAAAUUAAGUUAUAUGUUCUGACCACCAUGACGCACACUUGAGCAUCAAUUGUUCUUUGUCAAGCUAGAGGUACCAAAAAUACCAUUUCAAAGAAAGAGUUUUUAUAGUGUAGCUCUGUGCUGAGCAAACUGCUGAAUAUCUCUCUCUAGAGGCUGUGUUUAUAUUAAAAAAACAACAGUAAAAUAGACAAAUUAUUCUGAAAGCAAUUAUGAUUGAAUAUAUACUGUGUUAACACAUAUUACUAUUAUUAUUUUGUCUCAUCCUUAAUAUCUCCUAUAAUCUUGUAACUUUCUUUUUUAAAGUGCUAUGUUUUAUUGUAGCAUCACAAUACAAUUGUAUUUAAAUUUCUUAGCUUUUUUUUUAUUACAAGUCCAGGUUAGGGGCAUUGAAAUCAUAUUCAAGUUAAAAAGAAGUCAGGAUUUUGUGUUGUGUUUUGUACUUUCCACCCAGAAAGUGUUUUGAACUUGUUAACCGGUGUAAAUUUUGGUUAUCUAGAAAAUGUUCACCUUGUUCCAUAUGCUUUCUGUCCAUGCUCUAGAUGUAACAUGGCUCAAUUUUAGAAAAAUGGGGCUAAAUUCUGCUGACUUAAGGGGAAAAGCUCAGUGGCAGAAAACAAAUUGUGCACCAAAUUAUCUAGCCUGAGUAUGUGAUGACUUGAUGCAUAAGACGGGAGGAGGAGGGGACUCAUUCCUACUUUGGAAAUGGGAGAUCAUGAACUACAAGGGAUGGGGGCAUGGAACUCAUACAAAUCAGCUCAAAUCAGCUCAAAUCAGCUCGAAUAGUCCUCCAUUGAUCCUUAGCUGCUCUCCCCCUACUGCAGCUACAGAGGCUAUAAUCACUAAAGUGACCCCUGGACAACUUCUGUCAGGGAGAAGGCAAAGUAUAGACUCUUGUACCUGGUGAGAGGGUUCAGGGGGAUCUCAUAGGGGUUUUCUGCUAUCCUCUGCACUAUCACAUACACACACUCUUGCCAGAAGAGGAUUUUUUGGUGAUAGGUGCCAUCUCCAUACUCCUGACAUUUGUUUUAGAGCUCUUAUCAGUUAAGGACACUUCGUAAGUCACACAACCCAUUCAGUCUCUUUCCAGCUGUCAGCCAAGGAGGACCUUGCCCUACAACUCCAUAAUAUAGGCCUGAUUCUCCCACUGAAGGUUACUGAAGUCAAUGGGAGUUGUUCAUAUCCUGUCAGGGAGAAUCUGGACUGCAGCAUCUUUAAGGUGUUGCCUUUCCUGAGAUCAUUCCCCAGCUGCUAACUACCAUAUACAGACCAAGGCAUUCAAAUGUUCAUAGCUGCCAACUAUGAAUAAUAAUUACUGUCACACUGUCUGGAGUGGCUCAUGACCGAGAAUGCCUAUCUCAGGGAAGACUGUCAAAAGCAGGGCAGACACCCCAAAUUGGUGGUAUGGUCUAUAAUUAAAUUUUAUCAACCCAGUACCAAAUGUGAACUCCCAAAGUACUUAGCUAAUCGUGUAAUGGAGGUACAGACAGUGCUCUUAGCCCUGGUCUACACUACAGGGUUAGGUCGAAUUUAGCUGUGUUAGGUCGAUUUUGUACUGAAUGCAUCUACACAAGCAACCCCGUUCCGUCGACCUAAAGGGCUCUUAACAUCGACUUCUAUACUCCUCCCUGGCGAGGGGAGUAGCACUAAAAUCGACCUUGCUGGGUCGAAUUUGGGACAGUGCAGACACAAAUUGACGUUAUUGGCCUCCAGAAGCUAUCCCAGAGUGCUCCAAUAUGACUGCUCUGGACAGCACUUUCAACUCUGAUGCACUAGCCAGGUACACUGGAAAAGCCCCAGGAAAUUUUGAAUUUCAUUUCCUGUGUGGUCAGCAUUGCGAGCUCAGCAGCACAGGUAACCAUGCAGUUCCCCCAGAAUCGCAAAUGAGCUCCAGCAUGGAGCGAACGGGAGACACUGGAUCUGAUUGCUGUAUGGGGAGAAGAAUCUGUUCAGGCAGAACUCCAAUCAAAAAUAAGAAAUGCUAAUAUAUGUGCCAAAAUCGCACAGGGCAUGAUAGACAGAGGCUACAACAGGGACACACAGCAGUGCCGCGUGAAAGUCAAGGAGCUCAAGCAAGCCUACCAAAAGACAAAGGAGGCAAACAGUCGCUCUGGGUCAGAGCCCCAUACAUGCUGCUUCUAUGAUCAGCUGCAUGGCAUUCUAGGAGGGACCCUUCCACUACCCCACCACUGUCCGUGGAAGGGUAGUGGGGGAAUCUCACACAACAUGGAGGAGGAUUUUGUGGAUGAGAAAGAGGAGGAGGAGGAGAAUGCGCAGCAGGUAAGCGGUGAAUCCAUUCUCCCUGGCAGCCAGGACCUUUUCAUCACCCUCCCAAGCCAACACCCUCCCAAGGCGGGAUCCCCGACCCUGAAGGCUGAGAAGGCACCUCUGGUGCAAAUGUUUCUAUGCUCCCCUAUCAUCUCCGUCCCUGAGGUUAUCGCAGAUUAGAAGGCAAAAAAAAAAUGGACUCGCGAUGACAUGUUUUCCGAACUCGUGCAGUCCUCCCGCACUGUUAGGGCACAGCUGAAUGCAUGGAGGCAUUCAGUGGCAGAGUCCAGGAAAGCAUUAAGUGAGCGUGAUGAGAAGAGGCAGGAUGCAAUGCUGAGGCUAAUGAGGGAGCAAACGGACAUGCUCAGGCGUCUCGUGGAGCUGCAGGAAAGCCAACAAGGCCGCCACUGCAUCCACUGUACAACAGCCUGCCCUCCUGCCCAAGUUCCAUGUCCUCCUCACCCAGAUGCCCAAGAACGCGGGGGUGGGUGGGGUAGGGGAGGCUCUGGGCACCCAGCCACUCCACUCCAGAGGAUGGCUCAAGCAACAGAAGGCUGCCAUUCAAACAGCUUUGAUUUGUAGUGUGGCUACAAUAAGCAAUGUGCCCUUGUCCUUCCCUUCUCCCCUCCUCCCCCACCACACCUGGGCUACCUUAUCAGUUAUCUCCUUUUUUUCAAUUAAUAAAGAAAGAAUGCAUGGUUUCAAAACAA